This 502-nucleotide ribosomal RNA is filed under the name uncultured bacterium. Its description in RNAcentral is "bacterial SSU rRNA". It matches the Rfam family "Bacterial small subunit ribosomal RNA", at positions 76 to 573 of the family's 1533-position model. The record is from RNAcentral.
GUAGCAAUACAUGCUGACGAGCGGCGAACGGGUGAGUAAUGUCUCGGAAUCUGCCCAAUGGUGGGGAAUAACCAGCCGAAAGGUUGGCUAAUACCGCAUAAGUCCUACGGGAGAAAGCGGGGGAUCGCAAGACCUCGCGCCGAUGGAUGAGCCGAAACCGGAUUAGCUAGUUGGUAGGGUAACGGCCUACCAAGGCGACGAUCCGUAGCUGGUCUGAGAGGACGACCAGCCACACUGGGACUGAGACACGGCCCAGACUCCUACGGGAGGCAGCAGUGGGGAAUAUUGGACAAUGGGGGAAACCCUGAUCCAGCGACGCCGCGUGUGUGAAGAAGGCCUGCGGGUUGUAAAGCACUUUUAGUGGGGAUGAAAAGCUCAGGGCUAAUACCGCUGAGUCUUGACCUAACCCAAAGAAAAAGCACCGGCUAACUCUGUGCCAGCAGCCGCGGUAAUACAGAGGGUGCAAGCGUUAAUCGGAAUUACUGCGCGUAAAGCGUGCGUA